AGAGCGAACGCUGGCGGCAGGCUUAACACAUGCAAGUCGAGCGGGCGUAGCAAUACGUCAGCGGCAGACGGGUGAGUAACGCGUGGGAACAUACCUUUUGGUUCGGAACAACACAGGGAAACUUGUGCUAAUACCGGAUAAGCCCUUACGGGGAAAGAUUUAUCGCCGAAAGAUUGGCCCGCGUCUGAUUAGCUAGUUGGUGAGGUAACGGCUCACCAAGGCGACGAUCAGUAGCUGGUCUGAGAGGAUGAUCAGCCACAUUGGGACUGAGACACGGCCCAAACUCCUACGGGAGGCAGCAGUGGGGAAUAUUGGACAAUGGGCGCAAGCCUGAUCCAGCCAUGCCGCGUGAGUGAUGGAAGGCCCUAGGGUUGUAAAGCUUCUUUUGUGCGGGAAGAUAAUGACGGUACCGCAAGAAUAAGCCCCGGACUAACUUCGUGCCAGCAGCCGC
This 451-nucleotide ribosomal RNA is filed under the name uncultured bacterium. RNAcentral's name for it is "SSU rRNA". It matches the Rfam family "Bacterial small subunit ribosomal RNA", at positions 26 to 518 of the family's 1533-position model. The record is from RNAcentral.